UCUCCAAUUUUCCAUUCUCAUGGAUUCGCCAUUUUUUGAUCACUCUAGCACUCAAUAUUAUCAUCGUUUUACUUGCAAUAUAUGUUCCUGACAUUAGAAAUGUAUUUGGUGUAGUUGGUAAGUUUUCUGUUUCAAAAAGUUCACAUAAUAAAAUUGAUAAAAUUGCUACCCAGCCUCACAUCUGAAUCCAGCAAUAUCCUCUCUUUUUUUUCCCUCCAAUUUAAAGGUGCCAGUACAUCAACAUGUUUGAUUUUUAUAUUCCCAGGACUAUUUUAUCUUAAACUUAGCAGAGAGGAUUUUCUCUCAUGGAAAAAGUUUGGGGUAGGUUGUUUUUGUUUCUUUCUUUCAAGACUUCUAUUUUAAGAAAUAGUUUGUCAGUUUAUAUUAUUUUACCUGCAUCAAGAAAGUCAAUAUAUUUUAAAAUAUAGAAUACAUUAUUGCAGAGAGUAGAGAUUUAACAAAUAAUCUAAUUGUAUUUUUUAUCUUUUUUCUUUUAUCUUUCUUAUCUUUUAUCUUUUUUCUUAUUUCCACAGGCAUUCGUUUUGCUCAUCUUUGGAAUUUUGGUUGGGAAUUUUAGUUUAGCACUCAUCAUUUUUGAUUGGAUUAAUAAAUAAAAGAAAUAUUUUCCUACUUCUUACAAGAAU
This 644-nucleotide small RNA is filed under the name Pan troglodytes (chimpanzee). RNAcentral describes it as "retained intron". Lineage: Eukaryota; Metazoa; Chordata; Mammalia; Primates; Hominidae. The record is from RNAcentral.